Molecule: long non-coding RNA, 457 nt
Organism: Anguilla anguilla (European eel)
Lineage: Eukaryota; Metazoa; Chordata; Actinopteri; Anguilliformes; Anguillidae
Exons: 3
Source: RefSeq, a predicted model, not a curated record
CUGCAUUCAGUCACAAGGGAAAUGUGGAUCACAAUGGAUCAGCAUUUCUGAAUCCAGAGCACAGAAGGAGAAUACCUCUGGGCCAGAAAGCUACAAGCCGCGCCCACACAGACGUACCCAGUGAGAGAGAGAAGAAAGCAGAACCAUCACUACACAAGAUGGAGGACGCUCUACCGCGUUUGAAAAUGAACCUCAGGGACGUGUCUGGUAGUACAUACUGAUCAGACGCCCUGCGAUUGGCCCUUGGAUGGCAAAUGUCUGAAAGUACGGCAUGUCCAUGGCAGCAUGUUGCUCGGGGCCUUUUGGAGGCUAUCGCCAAGGCUGUGACGUUGGGAUCGCCCACGUCUGGGUGGACGGCUGUCCUUCGCUGUGCUGAAAGACGUUCUGUUCGUUACACUUUCACACUCUGCUCGUCCAGGCCAGGCACGGAAACGCGGUGGAAUAAAUGAAGAUUAAA